This 1008-nucleotide ribosomal RNA is filed under the name Psammophaga sp. 10110.12. Its description in RNAcentral is "bacterial SSU rRNA". It matches the Rfam family "Eukaryotic small subunit ribosomal RNA", at positions 1160 to 1801 of the family's 1831-position model. The record is from RNAcentral. Lineage: Eukaryota; Foraminifera.
AAGGGCACCACAAGAACGCGUGGAGCAUGUGGCUUAAUUUGACUCAACGCGGGAAAUCUUACCGGGUCCGGACACACUGAGGAUUGACAGGCGUUUGUGGUUUGCUUUCUGCUCUCGUUAGUAGGAAGCUUUCCACUAUAAAUAUGCUAGUCCUUUCAUGAUUGUGUGAUAGGUGGUGCAUGGCCGUUCUUAGUUCGUGGAGUGAUCUGUCUGCUUAAUUGCGUUUCACAAAGAACUCUUUAACUUUUGCCUGUUGCGCGGCAUUCGCUGCUCUUUAAUGAGCCGGUGUCAGUGCACGGUGAAGAAAAAGUUCUGAAGGCAACGAACGUGACCGCAACCUCUUGUUGCCUCCUUCUCCAUUGUUGAGACAUGGUUCUUGUUUGAUGCUUCCCCGCACUUUAUUGUGUGUUGGCUCAGCUUGACCUGCAUGGAGUGCGAACUAGAGGGACCGCUGAUAACCUUUAAAACAGAGGAAGGUUGCGGCAAUAACAGGUCUGUGAUGCCCUUAGAUGUUCCGGGCUGCACACGUGCUACAAUGAUUAUUGCAGUGAGCAUCUAACUUUAAAACGGUUCGAGCUUGUGUUUGCGUGUCUGGGUUCGCUCAGUUCGCUUACAUGGUUUGACCUAUCGACCUGCUUCGAAAGUAAGCAGGUAAUCAAUUCGAAGUAAUGAUUUCCUUUCGCACAUACUUAUAUCUCUUGCUUGCGGGCUAGCCUGUCCUUGUGGCAUGGUUUUGUUUUCGCCUUGAGAUAUGUGCUCCAUUAAUUCAUGGUGGGGACAGACCAUUGUUAAUUGUUGGUCUCGGUCUCAACUAGGAAUGCCUUGUACGGGUCUUUGGUUCAACAAACCACCCGGAAUAUGUCCCUGCCCUUUGUACACACCGCCCGUCGCUCUUACCGAUGGACUUCUCUAUGAGUUUGGAGGACUGGACGUCUACUUGCUAGUUAGAUAUCUAUGGAAAUCUAAACGAAUAGUGUGGUCUAAAGGAAAGAGAAGUCGAACAAGGCA